AAAUUGAAGAGUUUGAUCAUGGCUCAGAUUGAACGCUGGCGGCAGGCCUAACACAUGCAAGUCGAACGGUAACAGAAAUCAGCUUGCUGAUUUGCUGACGAGUGGCGGACGGGUGAGUAAUGUCUGGGAAACUGCCUGAUGGAGGGGGAUAACUACUGGAAACGGUAGCUAAUACCGCAUAACGUCGCAAGACCAAAGAGGGGGACCUUCGGGCCUCUUGCCAUCGGAUGUGCCCAGAUGGGAUUAGCUAGUAGGUGGGGUAACGGCUCACCUAGGCGACGAUCCCUAGCUGGUCUGAGAGGAUGACCAGCCACACUGGAACUGAGACACGGUCCAGACUCCUACGGGAGGCAGCAGUGGGGAAUAUUGCACAAUGGGCGCAAGCCUGAUGCAGCCAU
RNAcentral lists this ribosomal RNA (398 nucleotides) under Escherichia coli. RNAcentral describes it as "bacterial SSU rRNA". It matches the Rfam family "Bacterial small subunit ribosomal RNA", at positions 1 to 395 of the family's 1533-position model. Lineage: Bacteria; Pseudomonadati; Pseudomonadota; Gammaproteobacteria; Enterobacterales; Enterobacteriaceae. The record is from RNAcentral.